This is an RNA transcript of Maniola jurtina (meadow brown), 1588 nucleotides long. It is a transcript of the gene named aprataxin and PNK-like factor, with no coding region annotated. Lineage: Eukaryota; Metazoa; Arthropoda; Insecta; Lepidoptera; Nymphalidae. The transcript is spliced from 8 exons. The record is from RefSeq and is a predicted model, not a curated record.
ACUCUUUGUCUUUGAUGAUCAUAACAUGACGUCAUUUUUCUGGGGUUUUUCUACCUAAAAAACGUUAUUCCUGUUGUGUUCCUGUUGUUAUUGUAAAUAUUUGAUAAAUAAAGCUAAUAGCAAUGCUAAAGCUGACUUAGUAAAGUAAAAGGCUCAAAAUGACUAUAAAGUUAGUACGAACGGAUGCCGUGGAUCCAUGUAAGAUUCAACUGCCCCUCGGUGAACAUGUUUUUGGACGAGGCAAAUUACUUGAAUGUGACGAUAAAAGGAUAUCACGUCAACAUGGGAAGUUGAGUGUCAGUAUUGAUUCAUUAACUAUAACAGCGUUGCAUCAAAACCCCUGUUUCUUCAUAAAAAAGGGUGUAACUAACAUGGAGGUACUAAGACAGAACAAUACAAUAACUCUAUGUAAUGGAGAUAAAUUUGGUUUAUUACCAGACACAUUUUGGUAUGAAGUGAUAUUCUGUUCUGGUCUCGAAGCUAAUAAUGUUGACACUGAGAGAAAUACAGAAGAAUAUGGUGUCAGUAACAAUGAGUGUGAUAAAACUACCCAGGGUGAUGUGAACCAAACAGAAACUAGCGAUUUUCAUAAUUCUGAUGAUGGUUUUGAUAAUGAAAUAGCUAAAUUAGAGCCUUUGAUAGCAACUGGAAAUAAUGAUCCAACACAAGAACUGAACAAUGAUCCCGAAAUAACAAAUUCAAAUCAAAUAUCAGAGAAAACGAUUGAACUAAGUGAAGUUAAUACAAAUAAGGAAGGUCAAUUAAAUGAACAAAAUGAACCAAAUGUAGAGAAUGAAGCAGAUUUGCAAAAUGAACCCAAUGUACAAAGUGAACCAAUUGUGCAAAAUGAACCAAAUUUAGAAAAUGAAACAAAUGCUCCAUCAAAUGAUGAAAGCAAUUCAAGUAAAAGGAGCCACAGUCCAGACAACAGUGAUGUGAAAAAAAUCAAAACUGAACCUGUUGAAGUAAAAAGUGAAAAUACUGAGGAUGUGAAGCCGGGACCCAGUUUAAAUCAAGUGCCAGCAAAGGACGGUGCGGCGUGCGCCAACAACGCGCCUAACAACAAUCAGCCCCUGCGCGAAAGGUGCAUGUACGGCGCCAACUGUUACAGAAAGAACCCCCAACAUCUAUCUCAGUUCAGCCACCCGCGGGACUCGGACUGGGGCCCCGGCGAGCGCGGCAUCUGUCCCUACGGCGCGUCGUGCGGGAAGACCGACCCCCGCCACUGGCGCGACCACGACCACCCGCCGGGGAAGGUGCCGCCCCCCAGACCAGGUAUGCAAGUGGUGCAGCGUCACGGCAACGUGUUCUACAUCAACGCGCACUCGGUCAACUUCUACGACGACCGCUUCCAGGUUGAGGACUCGGACGGCGACAGCGUCGACUUUGAUUACGAGUUUUAAUCAUGAAUCUUCUAUAAUAUACAGGGUGUAACCAGAACGAUAGCAAAAAUGAUUGAUAUCGAUUACCCGGUCAGAAGAAAAAGCGCGAUAGAAGAGUCAGUAGCGACUCCGACGACUCUCCAGCUCAGGGCUUGGUCGUGGCCGGCAAGCGGGCUCGCAAGGCCAUUGCGCGGCCGCAGCCCUGC